GACGAACGCUGGCGGCGUGCUUAACACAUGCAAGUCGAACGGUGAAGCGCCUUUCUUUUUGGUGGGUGUGGAUGAGUGGCGAACGGGUGAGUAACACGUGAGUAACCUGCCCCCUUCUUCUGGAUAACCGCAUGAAAGUGUGGCUAAUACGGGAUAUUCUGGGUCUGUCGCAUGAUGGGUCUGGGACAGAUGUUGUUUCGGUGGGGGAUGGGCUUGCGGCCUAUCAGCUUGUUGGUGGGGUGAUGGUCUACCAAGGCGGUGACUGGUAGCCGGCCUGAGAGGGUGGACGGGCGCACGAGGACUGAUACACGGUCCAGACUGCUACAGGAGGCAGCAUGGGGGAAGAGGGCACAGUGGGGGCAAGCCUGAUGCAGCGACGCCGCGGAAGGGAUGGAGGCCUUCGGGUGGUGAACCUCUUUCGCCAGUGAAGCAGGCCUGCCUCGUUUGUGGGUGGGUUGACGGUAGCUGGAGAAGAAGCGCCGGCUAACUACGUG
This 494-nucleotide ribosomal RNA is filed under the name uncultured bacterium. Its description in RNAcentral is "partial 16S ribosomal RNA". It matches the Rfam family "Bacterial small subunit ribosomal RNA", at positions 28 to 507 of the family's 1533-position model. The record is from RNAcentral.